ACGAACGCUGGCGGCGUGCUUAACACAUGCCAGUCGAACGGAAAGGCCCUGCUUUUGUGGGGUGCUCGAGUGGCGAACGGGUGAGUAACACGUGAGUAACCUGCCCUCGACUUUGGGAUAACUUCAGGAAACUGGGGCUAAUACCGGAUAGGAGCUCCUGCUGCAUGGUGGGGGUUGGAAAGUUUCGGCGGUUGGGGAUGGACUCGCGGCUUAUCAGCUUGUUGGUGGGGUAGUGGCUUACCAAGGCUUUGACGGGUAGCCGGCCUGAGAGGGUGACCGGCCACAUUGGGACUGAGAUACGGCCCAGACUCCUACGGGAGGCAGCAGUGGGGAAUAUUGCACAAUGGGCGGAAGCCUGAUGCAGCAACGCCGCGUGCGGGAUGACGGCCUUCGGGUUGUAAACCGCUUUCGCCUGUGACGAAGCGUGAGUGACGGUAAUGGGUAAAGAAGCACCGGCUAACUACGUG
RNAcentral lists this ribosomal RNA (467 nucleotides) under uncultured bacterium. Its description in RNAcentral is "partial 16S ribosomal RNA". It matches the Rfam family "Bacterial small subunit ribosomal RNA", at positions 29 to 507 of the family's 1533-position model. The record is from RNAcentral.